UCUCCGUUGGUGGACCAGCGGAGGGAUCAUUACAGAGUUUUCUAAACUCCCAAACCCAUGUGAACUUACCAUUGUUGCCUCGGCGGAGCCUACCCUGUAGCUACCCUAUAAGGUUGCUACCCUGUAGCGCCCCGCCGGUGGAUUUUCAAACUCUUGUUAUUUAUAGAAAUCUGCGAGUCUUAUUUUAAAUAAGUCAAAACUUUCAACAACGGAUCUCUUGGUUCUGGCAUCGAUGAAGAACGCAGC
RNAcentral lists this unclassified non-coding RNA (246 nucleotides) under uncultured fungus. RNAcentral's name for it is "sequence contains ITS1, 5.8S rRNA gene". The stretch from base 198 to 246 matches the Rfam family "5.8S ribosomal RNA", at positions 1 to 49 of the family's 154-position model. The record is from RNAcentral. Lineage: Eukaryota; Fungi.